RNAcentral lists this small nuclear RNA (104 nucleotides) under Dasypus novemcinctus (nine-banded armadillo). Lineage: Eukaryota; Metazoa; Chordata; Mammalia; Cingulata; Dasypodidae. The record is from RNAcentral.
GUGCUCCUUUAGGCAGCACCUACGCUGAAAUUGGAACCAUACGGAGAUUAGCACGGCCCCCGCGCUGGGAUGACCCGCAGAUUGACGAAGCCUUCCAUAUUUUU